This 447-nucleotide ribosomal RNA is filed under the name uncultured bacterium. RNAcentral's name for it is "partial 16S ribosomal RNA". It matches the Rfam family "Bacterial small subunit ribosomal RNA", at positions 29 to 523 of the family's 1533-position model. The record is from RNAcentral.
AGCGAACGCUGGCGGCAGGCUUAACACAUGCAAGUCGAACGCCCCGCAAGGGGAGUGGCAGACGGGUGAGUAACACGUGGGAACGUACCCUUUGGUUCGGAAUAACUUGGGGAAACUCAAGCUAAUACCGGAUAAGCCCUUAUGGGGAAAGGUUUACUGCCGAAGGAUCGGCCCGCGUCUGAUUAGCUAGUUGGUGAGGUAAUGGCUCACCAAGGCGACGAUCAGUAGCUGGUCUGAGAGGAUGAUCAGCCACACUGGGACUGAGACACGGCCCAGACUCCUACGGGAGGCAGCAGUGGGGAAUAUUGGACAAUGGGGGCAACCCUGAUCCAGCCAUGCCGCGUGAGUGAUGAAGGCCUUAGGGUUGUAAAGCUCUUUUACCCGGGACGAUAAUGACGGUACCCUGCGAAUAAGCCACGGCUAACUACGUGCCAGCCGCCGCGGUAA